RNAcentral lists this ribosomal RNA (1787 nucleotides) under human gut metagenome. Its description in RNAcentral is "bacterial LSU rRNA". It matches the Rfam family "Bacterial large subunit ribosomal RNA", at positions 83 to 2007 of the family's 2925-position model. The record is from RNAcentral.
UAGCCAAUGGUGACUGGAGUUCAGACGUGUGCUCUUCCGAUCUAAGCAUUGAUCCGUGAAUGUCCGAAUGGGGAAACCCACAGAGCAAUCUGUAUCGUAACAUGAAUACAUAGUGUUGCGAAGCGAACGCAGGGAACUGAAACAUCUAAGUACCUGUAGGAAAGGAAAUCAACCGAGACUCCGAAAGUAGUGGCGAGCGAAAUCGGACCAGCCGAUGGAUUUGAUUGUAAGAACUAGAACAGCGUGGGAAAGCUGACCGAAGAUGGUGAUAGUCCAGUAUAGGUAGAAAGCAAUUAAGUUCUUGAGUAGGGCGGAGCACGAGAAAUUCUGUCUGAAAAUGGGGAGACCACUCUCCAAGGCUAAGUACUACUGAGUGACCGAUAGUGAACAAGUACCGUGAGGGAAAGGUGAAAAGCACCCCUAUAAGGGGAGUGAAAAAGAACCUGAAACCGGAUGCCUACAAGCAGUCGGAGGAGCAUUAGGCUCUGACGGCGUACCUUUUGUAUAAUGGGUCAGCGACUUAAUUUAUGUAGCAAGCUUAAGCCGAUAGGUGUAGGCGCAGCGAAAGCGAGUGUUAAUAGCGCGUUAAGUUACAUGGAUUAGACCCGAAACCGAGUGAUCUAGCCAUGAUCAGGUUGAAGGUUGGGUAACACCAACUGGAGGACCGAACCCACUCCCGUUGAAAAGGUAGGGGAUGAAUUGUGGCUAGGGGUGAAAGGCCAAUCAAACUCGGAAAUAGCUGGUUCUCCGCGAAAACUAUUUAGGUAGUGCGGCAAGCGGACACGUUGAGGGGUAGAGCACUGAAAGAGCUAAGGGGGAGCGAUCCUUACUAAACUUUAUCAAACUCCGAAUACUCAACAGUGAUACUUGCCAGACAGACUGUAGGUGCUAAGGUCUACGGUCGAGAGGGAAAGAGCCCAGACCGCCAAUUAAGGUCCCAAAAUUAUGGCUAAGUGGUAAAGGAAGUGAAUUGUCCAAAACAGUCAGGAGGUUGGCUUAGAAGCAGCCAUCCUUUAAAGAAAGCGUAAUAGCUCACUGAUCUAAACAAGACGAUUUGCGCCGAAGAUGUAACGGGGCUAAAGCCAUAUACCGAAGUUGCGGAAUUGCACGUAAGUGCAAUUGGUAGCGGAGCGUUCUGUAAGCCUGCGAAGGUGUUCCGUAAGGAAUGCUGGAGGUAUCAGAAGUGAGAAUGCUGACAUGAGUAGCGAAAAGAAGUGUGAGAGACACUUCCGCUGAAAGUCCAAGGUUUCCUGCGUAAAGCUAAUCUGCGCAGGGUUAGUCGGCCCCUAAGGCGAGGCAGAGAUGCGUAGUCGAUGGGAAUCAGGUUAAUAUUCCUGAACCAACUAGGAAGUGACGGAUUCAGUAAAUUGUAUGUCCUUAUUGGAUUGGAUGUGCAGUGAAUGAGUCCCGGGAAAUAGCCCUAGUAUAGACCGUACCCGAAACCGACACAGGUGGACAGGUAGAGAAUACCAAAGCGCUUGAGAGAACUAUGUUGAAGGAACUAGGCAAAAUACUUGCGUAACUUCGGGAUAAGCAAGCCCCAUUUCUGGGCAACCAGAGGUGGGGGGCACAUACUAGGGGGUAGCGACUGUUUACUAAAAACACAGGGCUCUGCUAAAUUGAAAGAUGAAGUAUAGGGUCUGACGCCUGCCCGGUGCUGGAAGGUUAAGGAGAGAUGUGCAAGCAUUGAACUGAAGCCCCAGUAAACGGCGGCCGUAACAAUAACGGUCCUAAGGUAGCGAAAUUCCUUGUCGGGUAAGUUCCGACCUGCACGAAUGGCGUAACGA